UGGGGAAUUUUGGACAAUGGGGGAAACCCUGAUCCAGCCAUCCCGCGUGUGCGAUGAAGGCCUUCGGGUUGUAAAGCACUUUUGGCAGGAAAGAAACGUCAUGGGUUAAUACCCCGUGAAACUGACGGUACCUGCAGAAUAAGCACCGGCUAACUACGUGCCAGCAGCCGCGGUAAUACGUAGGGUGCAAGCGUUAAUCGGAAUUACUGGGCGUAAAGCGUGCGCAGGCGGUUCGGAAAGAAAGAUGUGAAAUCCCAGAGCUCAACUUUGGAACUGCAUUUUUAACUACCGGGCUAGAGUGUGUCAGAGGGAGGCGGAAUUCCGCGUGUAGCAGUGAAAUGCGUAGAUAUGCGGAGGAACACCGAUGGAGAAGGCAGCCUCAUGGGAUAACACUGACGCUAAUGCACGAAAGCGUGGGGAGCAAACAGG
Molecule: ribosomal RNA, 429 nt
Filed under: Acidobacteriota bacterium
Lineage: Bacteria; Pseudomonadati; Acidobacteriota
Description: Acidobacteria bacterium partial 16S ribosomal RNA
Rfam family: Bacterial small subunit ribosomal RNA
Source: RNAcentral